Molecule: transfer RNA, 72 nt
Filed under: Capra hircus (goat)
Lineage: Eukaryota; Metazoa; Chordata; Mammalia; Artiodactyla; Bovidae
Also listed under: 1 other name
Rfam family: tRNA
About the family: Transfer RNA (tRNA) molecules are approximately 80 nucleotides in length. Their secondary structure includes four short double-helical elements and three loops (D, anti-codon, and T loops). Further hydrogen bonds mediate the characteristic L-shaped molecular structure. tRNAs have two regions of fundamental functional importance: the anti-codon, which is responsible for specific mRNA codon recognition, and the 3' end, to which the tRNAs corresponding amino acid is attached (by aminoacyl-tRNA synthetases). tRNAs cope with the degeneracy of the genetic code in two manners: having more than one tRNA (with a specific anti-codon) for a particular amino acid; and 'wobble' base-pairing, i.e. permitting non-standard base-pairing at the 3rd anti-codon position.
Source: Rfam by way of RNAcentral
UCCUUGGUAGCUCAGAUGGUAAAGCGUCUGCCUACAAUGCGGGAGACCCGGGUUCGAUCCCUGGGUUGGGAA